RNAcentral lists this ribosomal RNA (268 nucleotides) under uncultured prokaryote. RNAcentral describes it as "partial 16S ribosomal RNA". It matches the Rfam family "Bacterial small subunit ribosomal RNA", at positions 509 to 776 of the family's 1533-position model. The record is from RNAcentral.
CAGCCGCCGCGGUAAUACGUAGGGGGCUAGCGUUGUCCGGAUUUAUUGGGCGUAAAGAGCGUGUAGGCGGCCAGGUAGGUCUGCUGUGAAAACUCGAGGCUCAACCUCGAGACGUCGGCGGAAACCAUCUGGCUAGAGUCCGGAAGAGGAGAGUGGAAUUCCUGGUGUAGCGGUGAAAUGCGCAGAUAUCAGGAAGAACACCCGUGGCGAAGGCGGCUCUCUGGGACGGUACUGACGCUGAGACGCGAAAGCGUGGGGAGCGAACAGG